This 200-nucleotide ribosomal RNA is filed under the name uncultured bacterium. RNAcentral's name for it is "partial 16S ribosomal RNA". It matches the Rfam family "Bacterial small subunit ribosomal RNA", at positions 29 to 217 of the family's 1533-position model. The record is from RNAcentral.
AACGAACGCUGGCGGCGUGGAUAAGACAUGCAAGUCGAACGGGGCGAAUGAGAUUAUAUCAAGUUUGUUCAGUGGCGGACGGGUGCGUAACACGUGAGUAAUCUGCCGGAAGGAGGGGGAUAGCCCAUGGAAACGUGGAUUAAUACCCUGUGUGGCCCAAUCAGGCAUCUGGUUGCGGCUAAAGGUGGCGCAAGCUGCCG